AUAAUAACACCACUUGCAGCAAAUAAAUCCAACACAACACUUUCCUCAAACACCUGACGUGCACACACCAUGCUCACAGAAAAGAAACUAUGCUAUGUAACUUGCCACUUCACUUAGCGUGCCACUAAUUGACCAAGAUGACAAUUUGUUGAAAGCUAUAAACAAGAAAUCAGUAGUGACAUUCAUAAUAUUCAAGCAAGUAGGUGUCUUCCAAGAUGAGAGUAUCNNNNNNNNNNNNNNNNNNNNNNNNNNNNNNCAUUAAUUAACUAACUAAUCGAAACAAACAAACACGACAAAAGUAUACCAUCACAAUCAAAUUGGAGCAACGACUACCAGUUUAAAUCAACCGAUCUUUCCAUUUAUUUUUUUUUUUAAGAACGAGCAACAACUUAUAAUUGAACCAACGAUACUUUCACAAGCCUAAAUUAAGAAACACAGAUGCCAAAAUAAUCAAUAGAAGGAACAACCAAAUAACCAACAAAGAACAAAUAAGAGAACCAAACCUCAAAGACCAAAACCAAUAUAUUCCCAAAUUUUUGGGGACUCAAGAGCGGAAGCAACAAACAGUUCAAAGAGGAUCGAACGAAGCUCUAGAUACCAUGUUA
Molecule: long non-coding RNA, 605 nt
Filed under: Trifolium pratense (red clover)
Lineage: Eukaryota; Viridiplantae; Streptophyta; Magnoliopsida; Fabales; Fabaceae
Description: long non-coding RNA (TPRA_LNC012944)
Source: RNAcentral